Molecule: long non-coding RNA, 740 nt
Organism: Austrofundulus limnaeus
Lineage: Eukaryota; Metazoa; Chordata; Actinopteri; Cyprinodontiformes; Rivulidae
Exons: 2
Source: RefSeq, a predicted model, not a curated record
CUAAUUAGAAAGAAAAUAUAUAUUUUUAAAGUGACAUUUGUUGUAAAAUAGCUAAAACAGCCCAAAUGUGAAGUAAAACUGUUAUGAUUCUGUCCCUGUCUGCUCUGAUCAUGCCUCAGUUUAGUUUUAUUAUCUUAUUUCAUGUUCCAGUUUCUCCUCAUGUUCUUGUUCCCAGCCUUACAGCUCACAUCCAGCUCCUGCUCAUUGCUCUCGCCCCUCCCUUCAUAGAAACCCUAAUCAAGCUCAUUUCACUCACCUGUUUCCUGCAGUAUAAAAUCCAGUCUCACUCUCCAGUUUACUGCCAGAUUAUCAUCAGCUUGCCUGUGGUUCUCCAGCGGUUUCAGCCAUGUCUCGUUUUUUGCCUUUUGAUACCGACCUUGUUCUGGUCCCCUGGUUCAACGAUUCUCGCCUCAGCCCCUAACGGAUUAUACAGUACCUGCCAUCUGCUUUACCUGUAACGACUCACGCCUUGCUUCUUGGGACUCGUGCUCUUUGCCUCGCCCCUGAUCGGUAUCUCCAGCCAUCUGACCACCUGGAUCUYGACCCAUGCCUGUACCACGGAUUAUCAGAACUUGCCUUUUUAGACCCAAACACUCCAACUAAACUAAUGGUAUGUCACCGCACCGUGCUGGAAUGCAAACCCUUCCAUCAAAGUUUCUGUCUGGAAACAGAUUUGACGAGAAUCCGGUCAAAGCACUUCCUGGUUCAUUCACCUCUGUACAAUAAACUGUAAAACUUUG